Molecule: long non-coding RNA, 381 nt
Organism: Strigops habroptila (Kakapo)
Lineage: Eukaryota; Metazoa; Chordata; Aves; Psittaciformes; Psittacidae
Exons: 3
Source: RefSeq, a predicted model, not a curated record
AAGACCGAUGCAGCAAAUAAUUUCUGGGUCUUGUCAUUUUCAUUAAAUUGCAAGCAUCACUUCUUGUUUGUGUUUUCCAGGUGGUUCACAGAUGAAAGUAAAAGAACAGAAGACCUCCAAAGGCCAGCAGAUGAGCAGUAAAGCUACAGGAGCGGGAGAUGGGACUUGCUGAGGGCCGGCUGCCUCUUUGACCUCUGUCUCAGCCUGUGUCUGUUUCCAUUUAUCUUUCAGGUGCCGCACCCAACUUGGGAGAGGUGAAGCUGCACACCGAGGAGGGCUGUGAGAAGGUCAUGUCUUCCCAUAUUUGCAGUCAGAUGAGCACUUGAGGUCCUGGAGGGGAGGAGAGGCCCGGCAUAGGACUCUGGAACCGAUUCGGAGCAG